This 73-nucleotide transfer RNA is filed under the name Stegodyphus mimosarum. It matches the Rfam family "tRNA". From Rfam's summary of the family: Transfer RNA (tRNA) molecules are approximately 80 nucleotides in length. Their secondary structure includes four short double-helical elements and three loops (D, anti-codon, and T loops). The record is from Rfam by way of RNAcentral. Lineage: Eukaryota; Metazoa; Arthropoda; Arachnida; Araneae; Eresidae.
GCUUUCGUGGUGUAGUGGUCAGCCCGCUCGACGCGUAUUCGAGAGGUCCGCGGUUCGAGUCCCGGCGAGGGCA